Molecule: ribosomal RNA, 394 nt
Filed under: uncultured eukaryote
Lineage: Eukaryota
Description: partial 18S ribosomal RNA
Rfam family: Eukaryotic small subunit ribosomal RNA
Source: RNAcentral
CAAUAGCGUAUAUUAAAGUUGUUGCAGUUAAAAAGCUCGUAGUUGGAUUUCUGGUAGGGCAGGCCUGGUCCGUCCCCGAUAAGGGUGUAUGAGUACCGGCGCCAGUCUGCCAUCCUUCUAGGGAGUGCUUCACCUACCCUUGAUUGGGCUGGGUACUCGACCUGGAUCGUUUACUUUGAAGAAAUCAGAGUGUUUAAAGCAGGCUUAUUGCUUUGAAUAUAUUAGCAUGGAAUAAUAAGAUAGGACUCUGAUCCUAUUUUGUUGGUUUCUAGGGUGAGAGUAAUGAUUAAUAGGGACAGUUGGGGGUGCUGGUAUUUAACGGCCAGAGGUGAAAUUCUUUGAUUCGUUAAAGACCAACUUAUGCGAAAGCAUUCACCAAGGAUGUCUUCAUUAA